GUGCAGAACAUUCUGCUGCUCUUAAAGACCCUCAUCCCUCCCGUGGGAGCCCCCUUUGGACACUCUAUGACCCUGGACCCUCGGGGGACCUGAACUUGAUGCGAUGGGAGGCUGUGCAGGCUCGCGGCGGCGCUUUUCGGAUUCCGAGGGGGAGGAGACCGUCCCGGAGCCCCGGCUCCCUCUGUUGGACCAUCAGGGCGCGCAUUGGAAGAACGCGGUGGGCUUCUGGCUGCUGGGCCUUUGCAACAACUUCUCUUAUGUGGUGAUGCUGAGUGCUGCCCACGACAUCCUUAGCCACAAGAGGACAUCGGGAAACCAGAGCCAUGUGGACCCAGGCCCAACGCCGAUGCCCCACAACAGCUCAUCACGAUUUGACUGCAACUCUGUCUCUACGGCUGCUGUGCUCCUGGCGGACAUCCUCCCCACACUCGUCAUCAAAUUGUUGGCUCCUCUUGGCCUUCACCUGCUGCCCUACAGCCCCCGGGUUCUCGUCAGUGGGAUUUGUGCUGCUGGAAGCUUCGUCCUGGUUGCCUUUUCUCAUUCUGUGGGGACCAGCCUGUGUGGUGUGGUCUUCGCUAGCAUCUCAUCAGGCCUUGGGGAGGUCACCUUCCUCUCCCUCACUGCCUUCUACCCCAGGGCCGUGAUCUCCUGGUGGUCCUCAGGGACUGGGGGAGCUGGGCUGCUGGGGGCCCUGUCCUACCUGGGCCUCACCCAGGCCGGCCUCUCCCCUCAGCAGACCCUGCUGUCCAUGCUGGGUAUCCCUGCCCUGCUGCUGGCCAGCUAUUUCUUGUUGCUCACAUCUCCUGAGGCCCAGGACCCUGGAGGGGAAGAAGAGGCAGAGAGCGCAGCCCGGCAGCCCCUCAUAAGAACCGAGGCCCCGGAGUCGAAGCCAGGCUCCAGCUCCAGCCUCUCCCUUCGGGAAAGGUGGACAGUGUUCAAGGUUCGGAUGAUGGCUGGGGUAUGUCCCUGUGGGGCUUGCUCACCUCCAGGCCCCCCGCUUAUAUCUUCUGCCUUUUCCAGGGUCUGCUGUGGUACAUUGUUCCCUUGGUCGUAGUUUACUUUGCCGAGUAUUUCAUUAACCAGGGACUUUUUGAACUCCUCUUUUUCCGGAACACUUCCCUGAGUCACGCUCAGCAAUACCGCUGGUAAGAGGAGCGAGGGCAGUGGGCUGGGAGGGCGCCGUGGUGAUGCAGCUGCCCUGCCCAGUAGGCACCGGGGGGAGCGGGAUGGUCCCUGGAGGAGCCUCCUCUCCUACCCUCAACCCUAACCUCAGGUACCAGAUGCUGUACCAGGCUGGCGUCUUUGCCUCCCGCUCUUCUCUCCGCUGCUGUCGCAUCCGUUUCACCUGGGCCCUGGCCCUGCUGCAG
This 1367-nucleotide small RNA is filed under the name Pan troglodytes (chimpanzee). RNAcentral's name for it is "retained intron". Lineage: Eukaryota; Metazoa; Chordata; Mammalia; Primates; Hominidae. The record is from RNAcentral.